Drosophila kikkawai is the source of this 110-nucleotide small nucleolar RNA. RefSeq annotates it as small nucleolar RNA Me28S-Am2589. NCBI's taxonomy places the organism in Eukaryota, Metazoa, Arthropoda, Insecta, Diptera, Drosophilidae. The record is from RefSeq and is a predicted model, not a curated record.
UUCAUGGUGAUGAUAACCAUCAACUGAGUGCCGUUACCGAUCUAUUUUUGAUUGGUUCUGGCGAAUUUAAAGGGAUGUUCGCAGUUGCGAGGCAUUUGUCUGAAUGAUCC